RNAcentral lists this ribosomal RNA (346 nucleotides) under uncultured eukaryote. RNAcentral's name for it is "SSU rRNA". It matches the Rfam family "Eukaryotic small subunit ribosomal RNA", at positions 594 to 945 of the family's 1831-position model. The record is from RNAcentral.
AUAGCGUAUAUUUAAGUUGUUGCAGUUAAAAAGCUCGUAGUUGAAUUUCGGGACCAUCAUGUUGGUCGUGCCUCGGUACGUACUGGCAUUGUUGGUUUCUCCCUUCUGACGAACCAUGAUGUCAUUUAUUUGGUGUCGUGGGAAAUCAGGACUGUUACUUUGAAAAAAUUAGAGUGUUUAAAGCAGGCUCACGCUUGAAUACAUUAGCAUGGAAUAAUGAAAUAGGACGUUUGAUUCUAUUUUGUUGGUUUCUAGGAUCGACGUAAUGAUUAAUAGGGAUAGUUGGGGGCAUUAGUAUUCAAUUGUCAGAGGUGAAAUUCUUGGAUUUAUUGAAGACUAACUACUG